CUGACCUCAAAUCAGGUAGGACUACCCGCUGAACUUAAGCAUAUCAUA
This 48-nucleotide ribosomal RNA is filed under the name Phanerochaete sordida. Its description in RNAcentral is "partial 28S ribosomal RNA". Lineage: Eukaryota; Fungi; Basidiomycota; Agaricomycetes; Polyporales; Phanerochaetaceae. RNAcentral also lists the same sequence under 2 other names. The record is from RNAcentral.